RNAcentral lists this ribosomal RNA (484 nucleotides) under uncultured Pantoea sp. Its description in RNAcentral is "bacterial SSU rRNA". It matches the Rfam family "Bacterial small subunit ribosomal RNA", at positions 1033 to 1517 of the family's 1533-position model. Lineage: Bacteria; Pseudomonadati; Pseudomonadota; Gammaproteobacteria; Enterobacterales; Erwiniaceae. The record is from RNAcentral.
GACAGGUGCUGCAUGGCUGUCGUCAGCUCGUGUUGUGAAAUGUUGGGUUAAGUCCCGCAACGAGCGCAACCCUUAUCCUUUGUUGCCAGCGAUUCGGUCGGGAACUCAAAGGAGACUGCCGGUGAUAAACCGGAGGAAGGUGGGGAUGACGUCAAGUCAUCAUGGCCCUUACGAGUAGGGCUACACACGUGCUACAAUGGCGCAUACAAAGAGAAGCGACCUCGCGAGAGCAAGCGGACCUCAUAAAGUGCGUCGUAGUCCGGAUCGGAGUCUGCAACUCGACUCCGUGAAGUCGGAAUCGCUAGUAAUCGUGGAUCAGAAUGCCACGGUGAAUACGUUCCCGGGCCUUGUACACACCGCCCGUCACACCAUGGGAGUGGGUUGCAAAAGAAGUAGGUAGCUUAACCUUCGGGAGGGCGCUUACCACUUUGUGAUUCAUGACUGGGGUGAAGUCGUAACAAGGUAACCGUAGGGGAACCUGCGG